GGAUUAGGCAUGCAAGUCGAGCGAGAAAGCAUUUCGGUGCGAGUAGAGCGGCGGAAGGGUGAGUAAUGCGUAGACAACCUACCCCGGGCUUCGGGAUAACAUCGGGAAACUGGUGCUAAUACCGGAUGGGGUCGCAGGGUCGCCUGGCCUUGCGAACAAAGGAGGCCUCUGGAACAAGCUACCGGCCUGGGAGGGGUCUACGUCCUAUUAGCUAGAUGGUGGGGUAACGGCCUACCAUGGCGGUGAUGGGUAGCCGGCCUUAGCGGGCGAUCGGCCACACUGGGACUGAGACACUGCCCAGACUCUUACGGGAGGCUGCAGUCGAGAAUCUUCCGCAAUGGGCGCAAGCCUGACGGAGCGACGCCGCGUGAAGGAUGAAGGCCCUCGGGUUGUAAACUUCUGUCACCGGUUAAGAAUGGCCGCGGCGUGAACAGCGCCACGGUUUGACGAAGGCCGGGGAGGAAGCCACGGCUAACUUCGUGCCAGCAGCCGCGGUAAGACGAAGGUGGCGAGCGUUGUUCGGAAUCACUGGGCAUAAAGCGCACGCAGGCGGCGCGAUAAGUCGGGUGUGAAAUCCCUCGGCCCAACCGAGGAACUGCGUCCGAUACUGUCGUGCUUGAGAUCGGGAGGGGUGCAUGGAAUUCCGGGUGGAGCGGUGAAAUGCGUUGAUAUCCGGAGGAACACCGGCGGCGAAAGCGAUGCACUGGUCCGAAUCUGACGCUCAUGUGCGAAAGCCAGGGUAGCAAACGGGAUUAGAUACCCCGGUAGUCCUGGCCGUAAACGAUGGGCACUAAGUAGAGGGGUUUU
This 807-nucleotide ribosomal RNA is filed under the name uncultured bacterium. Its description in RNAcentral is "bacterial SSU rRNA". It matches the Rfam family "Bacterial small subunit ribosomal RNA", at positions 46 to 832 of the family's 1533-position model. The record is from RNAcentral.